This 59-nucleotide transfer RNA is filed under the name Tenebrio obscurus (dark mealworm). RNAcentral describes it as "tRNA-Ser". Lineage: Eukaryota; Metazoa; Arthropoda; Insecta; Coleoptera; Tenebrionidae. The record is from RNAcentral.
GAAAUAUAAUAAAAAUUAAGCUUCUAACUUAAUAUUAAGCAUAUAAUGUUUGUAUUUCU